UACGUAGGGCGCAAGCGUUGUCCGGAAUUAUUGGGCGUAAAGAGCUCGUAGGCGGUCUGUCGCGUCCGUUGUGAAAACUCGAGGCUCAACCUCGGGCUUGCAGUGGAUACGGGCAGACUGGAGUGCGGUAGGGGAGACUGGAAUUCCUGGUGUAGCGGUGGAAUGCGCAGAUAUCGGGAGGAACACCAGUGGCGAAGGCGGUUGCCUGGAGCUUUGCUGACGCUGAGGCGCGAAAGCGUGGGGAGCGAUCCGG
Molecule: ribosomal RNA, 253 nt
Filed under: uncultured bacterium
Lineage: Bacteria
Description: partial 16S ribosomal RNA
Rfam family: Bacterial small subunit ribosomal RNA
Source: RNAcentral